Molecule: ribosomal RNA, 250 nt
Filed under: uncultured bacterium
Lineage: Bacteria
Description: partial 16S ribosomal RNA
Rfam family: Bacterial small subunit ribosomal RNA
Source: RNAcentral
UACGUAGGGGGCAAGCGUUGUCCGGAUUUAUUGGGCGUAAAGAGCGUGUAGGCGGCUGGGUAGGUCCGUUGUGAAAACUCGAGGCUUAACCUCGAGAUGUCAUCGGAAACCAUUUGGCUAGAGUCCGGAAGAGGAGAGUGGAAUUCCUGGUGUAGCGGUGAAAUGCGGCAGAUAUCAGGAAGAACACCAAUGGCGAAAGCAGCUCUCUGGGAACGGUACUGACGGCUGAGACGGCGAAAGCCGUGGGGAG